UACGGAGGGGGCUAGCGUUGUUCGGAAUUACUGGGCGUAAAGCGCACGUAGGCGGACUGGAAAGUCAGGGGUGAAAUCCCGGGGCUCAACCCCGGAACUGCCUUUGAAACUCCCAGUCUUGAGGUCGAGAGAGGUGAGCGGAAUUCCGAGUGUAGAGGUGAAAUUCGUAGAUAUUCGGAGGAACACCAGUGGCGAAGGCGGCUCACGGGCUCGAUACUGACGCUGAGGUGCGAAAGCGUGGGGAGCAAACAGG
This 253-nucleotide ribosomal RNA is filed under the name uncultured bacterium. RNAcentral's name for it is "partial 16S ribosomal RNA". It matches the Rfam family "Bacterial small subunit ribosomal RNA", at positions 524 to 776 of the family's 1533-position model. The record is from RNAcentral.